Molecule: long non-coding RNA, 700 nt
Filed under: Cucumis sativus (cucumber)
Lineage: Eukaryota; Viridiplantae; Streptophyta; Magnoliopsida; Cucurbitales; Cucurbitaceae
Description: long non-coding RNA (CSAT_LNC000990)
Source: RNAcentral
AAGAUUUCAUCCACUUUCUCCAUGUAGAAGGUAAGUUUUUUUUUCAAAAGCAUGAAUUUCCAACUAAUUUUAUCAAUGCCUUCUCUAUGUCAAGUUUGAUGAUGAAUCCUUUGGCCUUUUUCAUUCUCCAAUAGUCAGUCGCUUCAUUAGCAAUGAGAAUGGCAUUAGUGAUCUGUCUACCCUUUACAAAAGGCAUCUGGUUUUCUGAUACAGUGUGUGGGAGGGUGGCUUUCAGUCUUUCAGCUAGGACUUUGGCAAUCAGUUUGUAUACAACAGUAGUAAGGCUAAUCGGCCUGUAGUCGGAAGUCUUUGUGCAUUUUUCCUUUUUUGCAACAAGGACAAUAUAAGUUUCAUUGACCGCUUUAUUUAUGAUGCCAUUUGUGUGGAAAUCCCUGAAAAUGUUCAAUAUAUCCACUUUUGUAUACCUCCACGUCUUUUUCAGAAAUUCCAUGGUGAAUCCGUGUGGCCCUGGGGCUUUGUUAUUCUCAAAAGAUUUGAGACAAUUCCAUAUUUCUUGUUCGUUGAACUGUAGACAGAUUGAUGUUUUCGAAGAGUUUGUAAUAGGAGACUAAUCGAGGUUAUCUAUGGACAUUGAUUCUUGUUCUGUCUUUGUGUAGAUGUCUUCGAAGUAGCUGAUGAAAGCUUUCUGAAUAUCAUCAUUAAUAGAGCAAUUUACUCCAUCCUCGUUUAUGAUAUUGGA